GGUCGUCCGGUCCGUGCGGUAACCGGCUCCGCGCGUCCGGCCGCGACUGCAGGGGAAAGAGCGCCGAGCGAAGCAGCCGGGCCGCCUGCCGCCUGCAGAGUGAGCGGCUCCCAUGCCUGGCGGUUACGGAGUGAUGGGUGACGAGGGCUCCAUCGAUGACAGCGUUCACGAGGCCUGGAAUGAAGCCACCAACGUGUACCUGGUAGUGAUCCUUGUCAGCUUUGGGCUCUUCAUGUAUGCCAAGAGAAAUAAAAGGAAAAUUAUGAGGAUAUUCAGUGUGCCACCUCCAACAGACACUCUGUCAGAGCCCAACUUUUAUGACACAAUAAGCAAAAUUCGUUUAAGACAGCAACUGGAAAUGUACUCCAUUUGACUCUUCCACACGUGAGAAAAUGAGAGUUGUCUAUAUGUUAAAUCUGUAUAGACUUCGCAAGUGACCUUUUGUCUUUCAUCGAAAGCACUUGACCUGCGGCAGUGUGGCCUCACCAGUGAAGGAGCAAAGGCUUUACUAAAGGCCCUUGAAAGCAACAGAACUCUGGUCGUUUUGGAUAUAAGAAAAAAAUCCACUUGUUGAUCAUUCUGUGAUGAAAGCAGUUAUCAAAAAAGUUCUCCAGAUGGAAGGAGUGCCAAGUCAGAGG
RNA transcript from Balaenoptera acutorostrata (minke whale), 638 nucleotides. It is a transcript of the gene named small integral membrane protein 19-like, with no coding region annotated. Lineage: Eukaryota; Metazoa; Chordata; Mammalia; Artiodactyla; Balaenopteridae. The transcript has 5 exons. The record is from RefSeq and is a predicted model, not a curated record.